GGUAGAGCUCUUGAAGAAAGUCAGAUAGGUACUGUGAUUUCUAUGGUGCCGCCUUACCCUGCAUCCGUUGUCAGUAUUUUGUCAUUCAUACGAGUAUAGCGCAACUUUUGUCGCAUUAAAUGUAUUGUGUGUACCUCCAUUUUUUGCCAUAUGUGCUAUAGGUUAGUCGUUCUUUUGUGGAGAGCUAUGAAUCUAGACUGUAAGGUUGGAACUUUAGCUGUGGCUUCUUCAUGAGAUGAGAUUGAGAUAAUUAAAUCAUGUUUAUACGAUCUUCAGUUGUAACAUGCAACGUUCUACGUAGUCAGAAUUGCAGUGGAGUACUGGCUUUAUGCCCCAAGU
This 339-nucleotide small RNA is filed under the name Oryza sativa Japonica Group (Japanese rice). RNAcentral's name for it is "misc RNA Os08g0254900". Lineage: Eukaryota; Viridiplantae; Streptophyta; Magnoliopsida; Poales; Poaceae. The record is from RNAcentral.